GCAUUUUCCUCCCAUAACGUGCUUGUCUGUGAAUAGUUUGGUCUUUAAAAAAAAUAAAUAAAUAAAUAAAAAUUUAAUGCAUUAAGCCACAUUAAGCAUUCCAGCUGAUUGAAAGAAUGGGCUCAAUAAUGGUCACAAAAUGGGUAUCGGAGAAGAUAUCCUAUAUAUAAUUUAAUAUAUUAAUUUAAUAUAAAUAGAUGAUACUUUAUAAAGUUUAUCUCAAUAUUUGACAGCAGUGGUUGUGAGACAACUGCACUAAAAUAAGAGCAUAAUGCAUGAAAUUGCAUUCGUUACUAUAGCAACAGAUUACAGGUAUGUCCUUUCAGAAUCAUCACUGGCCGGUAGAAAUAAAAGUUUCUCGAUUUCUUCACUUUAAAAUAACGAGGAGCAGCAUAUUUUCCUUAAAUAAAGGGGAGGAAAAGUCUAUGCUUUGCAAUGUAGUAAAGAAAAUUAAAGUUUCAUAAAAAUUGAAAUGGCACACAGCAGACACAUUAGCCUGUUGCAGAUAAUUAUACGUAACAAUAAUUGUCUUGUCAUGCUAUAUAAAUUAAAACAAUACUUUCUCAUGCUCUGAUGAUAUGAAACAAUCAAAUUUACAAAAAAUAUUUAAUUCAUAAUUCAUUCUUCUAUCUGAAGACCUGAUCCUCCCACUGUGGAUAAUCAACCCAAUUCAUUUAUUAGUUGGUUGUUCAUCUGUUAGCCUAAAGAUCAGAUUAAUUUACCAAAACAAUCAUUUCAGGGACAUGGCGAGUUACAGGUUAAUGUUCUAUUUUUUCUUCUGUGCAUUAUAAUGAAGGCUUUGUAAAACUGCACAUCCUUUUUAGCUUUUUAAACAACAUACUCCAUCCUACACCAAUAUGCACACAUUUCCUAUCAUGUAUGUCUAUGAAAGACGAUCGAACCAAUCAGAGUAGGUAUGGGGCGGGGCGACACGUGCAGCCCCGCCCCAGAUGCAGCCCCACCUCGAUCUGCAGGCUGCAGCUGGGUGCUUCUCGCAGUACUGGCUAAACCCACGUCCCAUCCCAUGACUGGCGUCAGGGACAUUUUCUCCUCAAGUGGCGUGAUGACAGCGGGAAUGAGCUUUGGAAACUCUAAUGUGCUGGUCAGAAACACUAGGACGUGACCUCUUAACGUCACGCUGAUGAACCGUCUCACAUCUCUCAGACUGUCAGGAUCCCUGCAGCUCCAGAGAAGAUGAAGAAGAAGAUCCAUAACUGGAGGUUCUUCACUCAUCCACUUGGUGGGGACAGAGACAGAAAUACAGUCACGUCUAUACAUUCAUGAGCAAUACUGAUUUACACUGCAAAUGAAGAAAGGGGUUUGUCCAACAGGAAUGAAUUGAACGAGUGUGUGAUUCAUUUAGUUCAUCUAUAAAUGAAAAUAUUGUCAUAACAUAAAUGUAUGGCUUUGGUUCUUCAGAGAAACUCUAAAGGAGGAUUCUGAAGGCUAUUGUUUCUAUUCAGGGCUGGACCGGGGUUCAAAU
Long non-coding RNA from Cyprinus carpio (common carp), 1483 nucleotides. Lineage: Eukaryota; Metazoa; Chordata; Actinopteri; Cypriniformes; Cyprinidae. The record is from Ensembl.